GCCGCGGGGAGCCACCGGCAGGGUGGGGUAAACGGGCGCGAAAUCGCCUUAGGGCCUACCUUCCCUUACAGUCAGGAAAAGCAGAGAACAGCCCGUGCGCCAUCGGAGCCGUGUCUCGGGUCCCCGUUGUGCAGUGCACGUCCCUGAGUCAGGAGGCUCGGGCAAUGAGUCAGCCUUGCCACCAUUUGUGGAAUUUGAUUUCACCAGCAACAAUUCAGUCUAUUGCUCUGCUAAAAUUAAUUAUCUCUGCCAUGAUAAUACACACUUUGGGCUCAGUGUGUGAGCUACCAUUUCUGAAGCAAAAGAAUUUAUGUCAAGUAUUGUAAGGGAACAGCUGUAAUAAAUAAAGCACAAUUC
Molecule: non-coding RNA, 357 nt
Organism: Lonchura striata (white-rumped munia)
Lineage: Eukaryota; Metazoa; Chordata; Aves; Passeriformes; Estrildidae
Source: RefSeq, a predicted model, not a curated record